CACCUACGGGUGGCUGCAGUCGAGAAUCUUCGGCAAUGGGGGAAACCCUGACCGAGCGACGCCGCGUGUGGGAUGAAGGCCCUUGGGUUGUAAACCACUGUCAGAGGGGAUGAAGUGCUAGGGAGUUCUCUCCUUAGUUUGACAUAGCCUCAGAGGAAGCACGGGCUAAGUUCGUGCCAGCAGCCGCGGUAAGACGAACUGUGCAAACGUUAUUCGGAAUCACUGGGCUUGAAGAGUGCGUAGGCGGUUUCGUAAGUAGGGUGUGAAAGCCCCCGGCUCAACCGGGGAAUUGCGUCCUAAACUGCGAGGCUGGAGUGAGGUAGGGGUGUGUGGAACUUCCAGUGGAGCGGUGAAAUGUGUUGAUAUUGGAAGGAACGCCGGUGGCGAAAGCGACACACUGGACCUUGUCUGACGCUGAGGCACGAAAGCCAGGGGAGCAAACGGGAUUAGAUACCCCAGUAGUCA
Molecule: ribosomal RNA, 465 nt
Filed under: uncultured Planctomyces sp.
Lineage: Bacteria; Pseudomonadati; Planctomycetota; Planctomycetia; Planctomycetales; Planctomycetaceae
Description: bacterial SSU rRNA
Rfam family: Bacterial small subunit ribosomal RNA
Source: RNAcentral